CCUACGGGAGGCUGCAGUAGGGAAUCUUCCACAAUGGGCGCAAGCCUGAUGGAGCAACACCGCGUGAGUGAAGAAGGGUUUCGGCUCGUAAAGCUCUGUUGUUGGAGAAGAACGUGCGUGAGAGUAACUGUUCACGCAGUGACGGUAUCCAACCAGAAAGUCACGGCUAACGACGUGCCAGCAGCCGCGGUAAUACGUAGGUGGCAAGCGUUAUACGGAUUUAUUGGGCGUAAAGCGAGCGCAGGCGGUUGCUUAGGUCUGAUGUGAAAGCCUUCGGCUUAACCGAAGAAGUGCAUCGGAAACCGGGCAACUUGAGUGCAGAAGAGGACAGUGGAACUCCAUGUGUAGCGGUGGAAUGCGUAGAUAUAUGGAAGAACACCAGUGGCGAAGGCGGCUGUCUGGUCUGCAACUGACGCUGAGGCUCGAAAGCAUGGGUAGCGAACAGGAUUAGAUACCCUUGUAGUC
RNAcentral lists this ribosomal RNA (465 nucleotides) under uncultured bacterium. RNAcentral describes it as "partial 16S ribosomal RNA". It matches the Rfam family "Bacterial small subunit ribosomal RNA", at positions 338 to 795 of the family's 1533-position model. The record is from RNAcentral.